AUCCUGCUGCUGCUGUCUGGCUUCUCAUCCACCCAGUUCCCUUCGGCUCACCUGGCAGGUGUGGCCAAUAUGCCUUGAUUGGCAGGUGGUGCCCAUUUAAGCCAGAGGCGGCCACACCAAGCCAGGCAGGGAGCAGAGCAGCAGGCUGGGUGGUGGUGAUUGGUUUGGUGAUUGGUUUGGUGAUUGGUUUGGUGAUUGGUUUGGUGAUUGGUUUGGUGAUUGGUUUGGUGAUUGGUUUGGUGACCUUUGUUACUUUUCGGCCUCACACAACAUAUGGGGGCUCGUUCCAGAUCUGUUUAUCCCUCUGUCUGUGUUUGUCCCAUGUAGCCAGGUGCAUUUUGUUUGGGGUGAUGCAUAGUUGGUGGUGUGGCUUCUACAGCCUGUAUCGCCCCAGGUUUUCGUUCUGCCCUGGUUUCUGUCCGCAUCAAUGGUGUCAGUACUCGUUUUGGGGUGUGUUUCUCUUUUAUUUGUUCCUCGUGCUGCCACUUUGUUGCAGUCUUCAGGGUGUGGCAGUACUUGUUUGAGGGCCACAGCUGGUACCUCGUGCUGUCAUGUUGACCCUUUAGGCUGUGGCAGUACUCGUGUGGGGGAACAUAGUUUGAGCCUCGUGCUGCCACCCUGGUUAAGCCUUUGAGCUGUGGCAGUACUCGUAUAAGGGGCAUUUCUUUUAGUACCUCGUACUGACACUCGUAAUGGACCUUUGGGACUUACACCAGUAUGGGUGCACAUUUUCUUUUGGACACCAGUGUAUGGUUUAUUUUUGUAGUUUGCUGCCCCUGCCUCACUCACAUUUUGGGUGUAAUUCUUGUUUGUGUUUGUAGCACCUUUGUUAUUUGUUGUGAACAUGUUUGCUUUGUUUUGCAGUGAGCUCAUCACAGAGCUCACGGAUUGCAAUGCCAACGACCCACCUCCGCCAUCCUGCCCAGCCGAUCGGAUCUAUGUCCCACCUACUCAUCGACAGCGGGUGCUACACCUGGUGCACGACACUCCUGCGGCUGGGCAUCCAGUGCAUCUUAGGAAUUCAACCACCAUUUUUUUUUUCCCUGGUCCGGGGAGUCCUCGGAGUUGCCUGCAGUGGACGACUGGUUUCAACGUUGCGAGGAGACAUGGAGAGCUGCUCAUGUGCAACUACAACACGCCGUUCGUCGCUCACAAGUUCAGGCUGAUCGACAUCGCCGUGCGGGCCCUAACCUAGUACCAGGUCAAUGGGUCUGGCUUUCUACCCGGGAUCUCCGUCUGAGGCUACCGUGCCGGAAGCUCAGCCCCAGGUUUGUGGGACCAUUCCAGAUUCUACGUCAAAUCACUCCUGUGUCCUUCCGUCUUCAACUUCCUCCAGAAUAUCGGAUCUCGCCCACCUUCCACAUCUCUCUGCUGAAGCUCGCCACGGGACCUCUCGAUGACGCUCCACCCUCUGGGUCCACUGACUCCGGAGCGACCCCUGUCAUGGUGGACGGAGAGGAGAUCCUGGAGUCUCGGCGCCGGAAUGGUCAACUCCAGUACCUGGUGGACUGGGAGGGGUACGGCCCGGAGGAGCGUUCCUGGGUGGCUCAUGAUGAUAUUCUCGAUCCCUCGUUGACUGCGGACUUCCAUCGGGAACGUUCGGACAGACCUGCCCCUCGUUGUCGUGGUCGUCCUCGGCGCCGAUCGGCCUGUCGCUUCCGGAGCCGCUCGCAGGGAGGGGGAUCUGUCAUGGUUCAGCCUGCUACCUCCUCCUUCAACCACCAGAGGGAACUCUCAUCUGAGUUUUGACCACCUCAUCUACCUUCACUCAGGACUCUGAUCAUCCUCAGCUGUUUUCCAUCUGCUCAUCACCACCACAGUAUUUAGUCUGGUUUCUUUCCACAGCUCACUGUGCAGUCUUGUUUGUCCUACAUCCAUUUCUGAACGUUUAUGCCUGUUAGAUCCUCUGGUUUCCGACUCCUGCCUACCUCCUCGACUCCCUGUUUGCCUGUGUCCUGACCUGCCUGUAUUUUGACCUUGCCUUGCCUCAGCCUGUGUCCCCCAUUAAAACCACGUUUGCAUAUGGA
Long non-coding RNA from Oryzias melastigma (Indian medaka), 2027 nucleotides. RefSeq lists it as uncharacterized. The transcript has 2 exons. The record is from RefSeq and is a predicted model, not a curated record. NCBI's taxonomy places the organism in Eukaryota, Metazoa, Chordata, Actinopteri, Beloniformes, Adrianichthyidae.